Non-coding RNA from Triticum urartu, 892 nucleotides. The record is from RefSeq and is a predicted model, not a curated record. NCBI's taxonomy places the organism in Eukaryota, Viridiplantae, Streptophyta, Magnoliopsida, Poales, Poaceae.
UCUCCCUCCAAUUUCUAUCCCCAUCUCCACUCCUCUCCCCCACGACUGCAUCCAGCGGCGAGAUUUGAGGAUCACGCCGCCGGCGCACCCUGCGGCACCAGCCGCGUAAUCCUUCUCCAAUGACGGCUGCUCACCCGCCCUCCCAUCAAGCCCCGGCCGCUGCGCUUGCUCUCCACAAGGACCGGUCGCCACGCCUCGCCGGCCAAGAUCGGAUCCGCCAACCCGCGUCAUCGAAGUCGCCAGCCUCUGCAGGCAACAUCAUAGCCGCUCGCCUCAUCGUCACCAUCGCCCACUCCAGCGCCUUCCCCAGCUUCCUUUCUCACCUCGUGCCUUACCAAGAUCUCGACCAACAAGAUGCCAGCGUCUGGAGACAACAGGUUAGGGAGAUUCAACACGAUGAUGCAGUGAGGCUAGGGGAUAGGUGAGAAACUCUGCAAGGAACCCCGCUGCAAUACCAUUAGAUCUGGUCCCCUUCCAACUAUUCGAGGUUCAUCUAGAUAAGGAGUAAGAUCAAUGCCCUUUGCUCUUCUCAAAGAUUCAGGAAGCAUCGUACAACAGCAGUGCGAGUACACAAUUAGCUGUAGCUGCAGAAGAAGAUGAGCACCAUGAGGAUUUAGCCGCGAGACUUGAAGCACAAGAUAGAGAAUUUGAAGAGAUGCAAAGAAGAGCCAACAAGAGAAGAAUGAAGCCCGGCAAAAGAAGCAACAUGAGAUGGAUAACUUGAUUGGAUUUCUUUUAAGGGCUCAAGCAACCAAGCAAGCAAAUCAGUCCAACCUGAUGGUGCAUGAAGGCCAUCAUUUUGUGAAAGAAAGAUAGUUGUUUAAUCAUAUAUUGCAAUCAUCAGGACAACAUAUGUGGUCUUUUAGUUAUCUAAAUAUUACUUUUCGUCUUA